GGAGGGAUGGCAGAGCGGCUGAAUGCGCCGGUCUUGAAAACCGGAAGACCUGCAAAGGUCUCGGGGGUUCAAAUCCCUCUCCCUCCG
This 87-nucleotide transfer RNA is filed under the name Candidatus Moraniibacteriota bacterium. RNAcentral describes it as "tRNA-Ser". It matches the Rfam family "tRNA". From Rfam's summary of the family: Transfer RNA (tRNA) molecules are approximately 80 nucleotides in length. Lineage: Bacteria; Candidatus Moraniibacteriota. The record is from RNAcentral.